CCUACGGGAGGCAGCAGUGGGGAAUAUUGCGCAAUGGGCGAAAGCCUGACGCAGCGACGCCGCGUGAGGGAUGAAGGUCUUCGGAUCGUAAACCUCUGUCAGUAGGGAAGAACGGUCACUGUGCUAAUCAGCAGUGAAUUGACGGUACCUGCAAAGGAAGCACCGGCUAACUCCGUGCCAGCAGCCGCGGUAAUACGGAGGGUUCGUGCGUUAAUCGGAAUUAUUGGGCGUAAAGCGCUCGUAGGCGGUAUGUCAAGUCAAGGGUGAAAUCCCCGGGCCCAACGUGAGAACUGCCUUGGAAACUGGCAAACUGGAGUGUGUGAGAGGAUGGUGGAAUUCCAGGUGUAGGAGUGAAAUCCGUAGAUAUCUGGAGGAACAUCAGUGGCGAAGGCGACUAUCUGGCACAUAACUGACGCUGAGGAGCGAAAGCGUGGGUAGCAAACAGGAUUAGAUACCCUUGUAGUC
RNAcentral lists this ribosomal RNA (465 nucleotides) under uncultured bacterium. RNAcentral's name for it is "partial 16S ribosomal RNA". It matches the Rfam family "Bacterial small subunit ribosomal RNA", at positions 338 to 795 of the family's 1533-position model. The record is from RNAcentral.